Molecule: ribosomal RNA, 329 nt
Filed under: uncultured eukaryote
Lineage: Eukaryota
Description: partial 18S ribosomal RNA
Rfam family: Eukaryotic small subunit ribosomal RNA
Source: RNAcentral
CCCUUAGAUGUUCUGGGCCGCACGCGCGCUACACUGGUGCGUUCAACAAGUUUACAACCUUGAUUGACAAGUCUGGGUAAUCUUUUGAAUGCGCACCGUGCUAGGGAUAGAUUAUUGCAAUUAUUAAUCUUGAACGAGGAAUUCCUAGUAAACGCAAGUCAUCAGCUUGCAUUGAUUACGUCCCUGCCCUUUGUACACACCGCCCGUCGCACCUACCGAUUGAAUGGUCCGGUGAAAUCUUCGGAUCUGAGAGAUGUCUGAUUAAUUUCGGACGCCUUUUGGAAAAGUUGCUUAAACCUUACCAUUUAGAGGAAGGUGAANUCGUANCA